This 1662-nucleotide long non-coding RNA is filed under the name Equus caballus (horse). RNAcentral's name for it is "lncRNA (ENSECAG00000053434.1)". Lineage: Eukaryota; Metazoa; Chordata; Mammalia; Perissodactyla; Equidae. The record is from RNAcentral.
GGCGGUAAUGUUAAUAGAAAUUAUCAUUUCAGAGACACUUUGUGGGAUCUUGGGCCAGUUUUUCAACCUCUGGGAGCCUCAACUUUUUCAUCUGUAAAGUGCAGGAAAGUGGGUACUUGAAGCCAGUAAGUGAGCCAGAAAGUGUCAGAGAAAGCAGGAAGUAUCCCAGGAUAAUGACUUAUAAGUCCCAGCGGUCACACACAAGAACCAGGUUGGAAAUCAUUAGGUGUGCUGAUGGGGACAAACCUUUAUUCUCAAUCUGAUGCUCUUCAGAGUGUGCUCCCUCUGGGAACCCAGCUGCCACAUUAGGAGAAGCCCAGGGAGAGGCCAUGAGUAGAUGCUCCAGUUGACAGCCCCAGCACAGCUCAGGCUCCAAGCCAGCCCAGCCCAGGAACCAUACACAUGAGUGAGGAAAUCGCCGGAUGAUUCCAGCGCUGGUGAUUCAAGUCACACCAGCCAAAGUUGGUUACACAGCAAAAGACGAAUGAAAUAGAGUUGCAUUGUGCUAUUGUAUCUACUUUUGUGUUUAUCUGAAAAUUGUCCAUAGUAAAAAGUUUUUAAAAGGUUUCUAUGACCAUUAAAAGAGAAUGCUAGAAAUACACCAUCAGAUCAUCUAAAAGGCAAGAUGCGCUUUGAUAUUUUAUAAUGGUUUUAGCUCUCUGAGGACAGAAUCCCCCUUACAGUAUGGUAAACUUUCGGACUUCUUGCUCAUACGCAUGCAGCAUGCGUGAAAUUCAGGGGCGGUCUAGAUGAGUGUUCUCGGGUUAAAUUGGAGAGCAGUAAGUAUGGUGAGACAGUUGGUAGGAGAGAUUCCAAUAUUCUGAGUGAAAGGGUCAAAUUAGAAUACAGAUUUUAUGUGAAAGGAAGCAGCUCAAACCCUUAUUUCUUCUUCAUGGGUGCUGGGAUUAGGGACAAUCUUUUCUUUUUCUAUCAUAGUUGAUUAACUUCUGGACAGGAGGCUGAUCAACUAAGUUAAAGAUCUUUGUACCUCCCUUUCCCUCUCUUUGAUGCCUGUGCUUUGUGAGGGAAAUGGAAAUAGCUUUAUUUUAUUUCUGUUUAUAAAGUGAAUUCAUGUUCUUUUAAAAAAAUAUAUCUAGAAGCAACUCAAAUGUCCAUUGACAGGUGAAUAUAUAAAAAUGUGUAUAUACAUACAAUGGAAUAUCAUUGAGCCUUAAGACGAAGGAAAUUCUAUCACAUGCUACAGCGUGGGUGAACCAUGAGGAUAUUAUGCUAAGAGAAAUAAGACAGUCACACACACAAAAACAAAUACCGUAUGAUUCCACUUAUAUGAAGCUCCUAGAUUAGUCAAAUUUAUAGAGACAGGAAGCAGAAUGGUGCUUCCCAGGGACUGGGGGAGGGGAGAAUGGGGACUUGUUCAACAGGUACAGAGUUUCAGAUUUGCAAGAUGAAAAAGCUCUGGAGAUCUGGUUCACAACAAGGUGAAUAUGCUUAACAUCACUGGACUGUGCAGUUGAAGAUGGUUGAGAUGAUUUUAUGUUAUGUGUUUUUUACCACAAUAACAUUUUUAAAAAAUCAGUAUAUAUAGAAAAGGAAUAAAGAAGAAACUAAGUAUCUCUAUAAUCUUAUAGCCUAGAAAUAAUUAGCAUUAAUUGGUAUGUAUCCUUUUGUACAUUUUUCCUAUGGAUAGACAAACAUCCACAC